UUCUCUCUCUGCCGACAGACCUCUCAAUCUCAUCUUCUCUCUCGCCACCAUGAAAGGAGCUUGAAGCUCUGACCUCACCGUCGCUCUCUCGCCAUCUCUCUCGUCGAGUCGUCGUCUCUCUCGCCAUCUCUCGCCGUCUCUCUCGCCAUCUCUCUCGCCGUCUCUCUCGCCCCCAUGAAAGGAGCUUGAAGCUCGUCGUCUCUCUCGUCAUUUCUCUCUCUCGUCAUCUCUCUGCCAUCUCUCUCUCGCCGUCUCUCUCUCUCGCCAUCUCUCUCUCGCCGUCUCUCUCUCUCGCCGUCUCUCUCGUCGUGUCUCUCUCGCCGUCUCUCUCGUCGUGUCUCUCUCGCCGUCAUCUCUCUCACCGGUUUGAUCUUCUGUGGAGAACUGCAUAGGUGCUUUAGAUGGAACUCAUAUUGCUGUCCGUCCACCAUGUGGGAAUAGUGAGCCAUUUAGAGGUAGAAAAGGUGAACCAACCAUGAAUGUGCUGGCUAUUUGUAAUUUUGACAUGAGGUUCAUCUACGCUUAUGUUGGAGUUCCCGGGAGAGCACAUGACACGAAGGUGCUAACAUAUUGUGCUACUGAAGAAGCUUCUUUUCCUCACCCACCAGCUGGAAAAUACUACUUGGUCGACUCAGGCUAUCCAACCAGAACUGGUUACUUAGGUCCUCAUCGCAAGACUAGAUACCAUAUAGAUCAGUUCAACAGAGGAGGUCCACCAUCAAACACUAGGGAAUUGUUCAACCGCAGGCACUCCGGUUUAAGAUCAAUGAUUGAGAGGACUUUUGGUGUUUGGAAAGCCAAAUGGAGAGUUUUAGACAGAAAACAUCCCAAGUAUAAGUUGAAGAAGUGGAUAAAGAUUGUGACAGCAACCAUGGCCCUCCACAACUUUAUUCGAGAUUCGCAACAUGGAGAUACUGAUUUUUCAUAUUGGGAAGGAGUGGAAUCAUAUGAACAGCAUGGUGAUGAUGAAGAAGAACAUGUCGGAUACAUUCCGCAGGGUGAUAGAUUGAUGGAGAGUGUGCGUCACUGUAUUACUAUGGAGAUGGCAAGAGGAACUAGACUUCCAUACUAGCAUCAUACAAGUUGUUUCUCUUCUUGGAUUGUUGUAGCAAUGAGUGAAGAAUGUGGAAGUUCUUGUUUGUGGUCCAAAGAUAUGAGACAGUGUGGAAAACGUAUGAUAUUGUUUUCUUUAGAUGGGUUUCUUUAAAUUGUUAGACAUCUUUUAAAUUUCAGUUUUAUAAACAUUAUUGUUAGUAUUUGAAUAUCUACUUUGAACGGUUUGAAAGUUUAUUAAAA
This is a long non-coding RNA of Raphanus sativus (radish), 1296 nucleotides long. RefSeq lists it as uncharacterized. Lineage: Eukaryota; Viridiplantae; Streptophyta; Magnoliopsida; Brassicales; Brassicaceae. The record is from RefSeq and is a predicted model, not a curated record. The transcript is spliced from 3 exons.